This 412-nucleotide unclassified non-coding RNA is filed under the name Hevea brasiliensis (rubber tree). The record is from RNAcentral. Lineage: Eukaryota; Viridiplantae; Streptophyta; Magnoliopsida; Malpighiales; Euphorbiaceae.
GGAAUCCCUGAAACAAUAAUCCAAAGAGCUGAAGACUUGUAUUUUUCUGCUUAUGCAGUUGAAGUUUCUUCAGAAAGGAUUGAAGAAAGAAAAAAAACAGUUCUAUUCUGGUGGGACUGUUAAUAGCUUCCAUGAAGCCCAUUUUCCACCAAGGGGAACUACAGCAGGAGCUCUUGAUCACAAUACCAAUUCAGGAAAGGUGGAAGUUAUAGAGAGGAAGGAUGUUGAGAGUGCUAUUACCAUAAUAUGCCAGAGGAAGCUGAUUGAGCUUUACAAACAGAAAAACACAUCAGAACUUUUAGCUGUGCACUGUGUUGCUAUUGGUGCCAGGGAACAGCCACCUCCAUCAACAAUAGGUUCUUCAUGUGUGUAUGUGAUGCUGAGACCGGACAAGAGACUGUAUGUUGGAGUG